RNAcentral lists this ribosomal RNA (432 nucleotides) under uncultured bacterium. RNAcentral describes it as "partial 16S ribosomal RNA". It matches the Rfam family "Bacterial small subunit ribosomal RNA", at positions 29 to 506 of the family's 1533-position model. The record is from RNAcentral.
AACGAACGCUGGCGGCAGGCCUAACACAUGCAAGUCGAGCGAGCAUUUCGGUGCUAGCGGCGGACGGGUGAGUAACGCGUGGGAACGUGCCCUUUUCUGCGGAAUAGUCCUGGGAAACUGGGGGUAAUACCGCAUACGCCCUUUUGGGGAAAGAUUUAUCGGAGAAGGAUCGGCCCGCGUUGGAUUAGGUAGUUGGUGGGGUAAUGGCCCACCAAGCCGACGAUCCAUAGCUGGUUUGAGAGGAUGAUCAGCCACACUGGGACUGAGACACGGCCCAGACUCCGACGGGAGGCAGCAGUGGGGAAUCUUAGACAAUGGGGGCAAGCCUGAGCUAGCCAUGCCGCGUGAGUGAUGAAGGCCUGAGGGUUGUAAAGCUCUUUCAGCUGGGAAGAUAAUGACGGUACCAGCAGAAGAAGCCCCGGCUAACUCCGU